RNAcentral lists this small nuclear RNA (116 nucleotides) under Microcebus murinus (gray mouse lemur). RNAcentral describes it as "U5 spliceosomal RNA (ENSMICG00000041613.1)". It matches the Rfam family "U5 spliceosomal RNA". From Rfam's summary of the family: U5 RNA is a component of both types of known spliceosome. The precise function of this molecule is unknown, though it is known that the 5' loop is required for splice site selection and p220 binding, and that both the 3' stem-loop and the Sm site are important for Sm protein binding and cap methylation. The record is from Rfam by way of RNAcentral. Lineage: Eukaryota; Metazoa; Chordata; Mammalia; Primates; Cheirogaleidae.
AUGCUCUGGUUUCUCCUCAGAUUAUAUCAAUCUUUUGCCUUUUACUAAAGAUUUCUGUGGAGAGGAAAAAUUCUGAGUUUUAAUACAAUUUUUUGAGGCCUUACAUCAGCAGCGCU